Molecule: ribosomal RNA, 762 nt
Filed under: uncultured fungus
Lineage: Eukaryota; Fungi
Description: SSU rRNA
Rfam family: Eukaryotic small subunit ribosomal RNA
Source: RNAcentral
CGAUGGUAGGAUAGAGGCCUACCAUGGUGGUAACGGGUAACGGGGAAUUAGGGUUCGAUUCCGGAGAGGGAGCCUGAGAAACGGCUACCACAUCCAAGGAAGGCAGCAGGCGCGCAAAUUACCCAAUCCCGACACGGGGAGGUAGUGACAAUAAAUAACAACACAGGGCUCUUUUGGGUCUUGUUAUUGGAAUGAGUACGAUUUAAAUCUCCUAACGAGGAACAAUUGGAGGGCAAGUCUGGUGCCAGCAGCCGCGGUAAUUCCAGCUCCAAUAGCGUAUAUUAAAGUUGUUGCAGUUAAAAAGCUCGUAGUUGAACUUCAGGCCCGGUCGGACGGUCCGCCUUCUGGGUGUGUACUGUCUCGGUUGAGUCCUACCUUCUGGCGAAGCGGCAUGGCCUUAAUUGACCGUGUCGGGAACCAGGACUUUUACUGUGAAAAAAUUAGAGUGUUCAAAGCAGGCAUGUUAGCUUGAAUACAUUAGCAUGGAAUAAUGGAAUAGGACGAUGGUUCUAUUUUGUUGGUUUCUAGGACCGUUGUAAUGAUUAAUAGGGAUAGUUGGGGGCAUUAGUAUUCAAUUGUCAGAGGUGAAAUUCUUGGAUUUAUUGAAGACUAACUACUGCGAAAGCAUUUGCCAAGGAUGUUUUCAUUAAUCAAGAACGAAAGUUAGGGGAUCGAAGACGAUCAGAUACCGUCGUAGUCUUAACCAUAAACUAUGCCGACUAGGAAUCGGGCGAUGUUAAAAAAAUGACUCGCUCGGCACCU